RNAcentral lists this transfer RNA (66 nucleotides) under Chionomys nivalis (European snow vole). RNAcentral describes it as "tRNA-Phe". It matches the Rfam family "tRNA". From Rfam's summary of the family: Transfer RNA (tRNA) molecules are approximately 80 nucleotides in length. Their secondary structure includes four short double-helical elements and three loops (D, anti-codon, and T loops). Lineage: Eukaryota; Metazoa; Chordata; Mammalia; Rodentia; Cricetidae. The record is from RNAcentral.
GUUGAUGUAGCUUAUAAAAAGCAAAGCACUGAAAAUGCUUAGAUGGAUGCAAGCAUCCCAUAAACA